RNAcentral lists this ribosomal RNA (253 nucleotides) under uncultured bacterium. RNAcentral's name for it is "partial 16S ribosomal RNA". It matches the Rfam family "Bacterial small subunit ribosomal RNA", at positions 524 to 776 of the family's 1533-position model. The record is from RNAcentral.
GACGGAGGAUGCAAGCGUUAUCCGGAAUGAUUGGGCGUAAAGCGUCCGCAGGUGGCAGUUCAAGUCUGCUGUCAAAGACCGGGGCUUAACUUCGGAAAGGCAGUGGAAACUGAACAGCUAGAGUAUGGUAGGGGCAGAGGGAAUUCCUGGUGUAGCGGUGAAAUGCGUAGAGAUCGGCAGGAACACCCAGGGGGAAACCAGUCGACUGGGCAUCUACUGACGCUGAGGUGCGAGAGCGUGGGGAGCGAACCGG